This 553-nucleotide ribosomal RNA is filed under the name uncultured archaeon. RNAcentral describes it as "bacterial SSU rRNA". It matches the Rfam family "Archaeal small subunit ribosomal RNA", at positions 325 to 879 of the family's 1478-position model. The record is from RNAcentral.
AUGGGGUGCAGCAGGCGCGAAACUUCUGCAAUGACCGUAAGGUUGACAGAGCAACUCCGAGUGCUCAUGCGAAGCAUGGGCUUUUGCCAAGUGCAAAAAGCUUGGCGAAUAAGGGGUGGGCAAGACCGGUGGCAGCAGCCGCGGUAAUACCGGCGCCCCAAGUGGUGAUCAUUUUUAUUGGGCCUAAAGCGUCCGUAGCCUGUUUGGUUAGUCUUUGGUGAAAUCCAUGCGCUCAACGUAUGGGCGAGCCAGAGAUACUGCCAAGCUAGGGACCGGGAGAAGCUAGGGGUAUUCCUAGGGUAGGAGUAAAAUCCUGUAAUCCUAGGAGGACCACCGGUGGCGAAGGCGCCUAGCUAGAACGGGUCCGACGGUGAGGGACGAAAGCUGGGGUAGCGAACGGGAUUAGAUACCCCGGUAGUCCCAGCUGUAAACGCUGCCUGUUAGGUGUUGCACAUUGUUCGACAGUGUGCAGUGCCGAAGCGAAGGCAUUAAACAGGCCGCCUGGGGAGUACGGUCGCAAGGCUGAAACUUAAAGGAAUUGGCGGGGGAGCAC